This 179-nucleotide non-coding RNA is filed under the name Clostridium sp. cel8. RNAcentral describes it as "6S / SsrS RNA". It matches the Rfam family "6S / SsrS RNA". From Rfam's summary of the family: E. coli 6S RNA was the first non coding RNA to be sequenced, but its function was unknown until recently. It consists of 184 nucleotides that fold into an extended hairpin structure with a large single-stranded internal bulge. Lineage: Bacteria; Bacillati; Bacillota; Clostridia; Eubacteriales; Clostridiaceae. The record is from Rfam by way of RNAcentral.
UAAUUCCUGCUGUGUGCGUAAGUGUAAAUUUUUAUUGACCGAACACCUUUUAAGAGGAAAUCCAACUCUUUUUGUGGAAUGAUACUUAGGCAUUGCCUAAGAACAGGAAGCAGAAAGGCGAUUUCCACCUGUUUGACGCGGGUUCAAUGAUUUGCACUUACGGCAUUGGCGGGUAUUAU